This is a long non-coding RNA of Callorhinus ursinus (northern fur seal), 815 nucleotides long. RefSeq lists it as uncharacterized. The record is from RefSeq and is a predicted model, not a curated record. NCBI's taxonomy places the organism in Eukaryota, Metazoa, Chordata, Mammalia, Carnivora, Otariidae.
UAUAAGCCCCCCCGCCCCUGAAACUGACCUGUGGGCCAAAACAAAGAGGUCUGGUCCAUGUUUUCUGCCUCCAGCAGGAGUGGCUGACCCCUGAGGCUGUCCUUUCAACCAUCAGGUUGAUCUAGAAGGUGCUCUCUCAGCCUCAGUCUAGUCUCCAAAGAACAAGUAGCAGCCUUGGGACUGUCUUAUAGAAAACGAAGAACUUCCACUGAGGAGCUGUAGCUACCUGAGGAAUUGAACUUGACUCCUCCCUCUGCAACCGAUUUUAGGCCCAGAUUUUACACCCUCCCCUCUACUCUGUUCCCAUAACCCUGGCUUUAGUUCAAUUCCUCAUCAUUUCCUGCCCGAACUCCUGAAUCACCAGGCUGACUUUUGGUCUCUUCCAUCCCAUGCCGUUCUCCAUAGUGCUUCUGAGAUCUUUAGGGGCCAAGGGCUUUCCUCAUCAUUCCCAGGAGGUUUUUGUUUGCUUGUUCCUGUAUUUUGGCAAUGCAUCUAUUUAUAUUGAUAAGAAGAACUAUCUAACUAGCCAGCACUCUGAAGCUUUACGCCUUCUGCACGAGGGGUGUUGUUACCUGCACUGUGGCAAAAGGCAGUGAGACUCGCAGGCAUGGCAGCCACGCAGAGCUUGCCCAGUGGGAUGUGGGAUGGCACAGCAGGAAGUUCGAGCAACAAAGGCAGACCCCUCUGGGAGCACAUGGAGUAUAUACACCCAGGGGCAUCUAGAAGUCCUUAAGAGCCGCAGGCAAUUGAGGUCCUGCAGAAGGUACCCAUGGAAGAGACAGAGAGCAUGAGCAGGAGGGGCUGAGGGAGAGGGA